UCAAGCCGGAGGAAGGUGGGAUGAUGUCAAGUCAGCAUGGCCUUUAUAUCCUGGGCUACACACACGCUACAAUGGCAGAUACAAUAGGUUGCGAAACCGCGAGGUGGAGCCAAUCCUCAAAGUCCGUCUCAGUUCAGAUUGUAGGCUGCAACUCGCCUGCAUGAAGUUGGAGUUGCUAGUAAACGCAGGUCAGCUAUACUGCGUUGAAGUACCGUUCCCGGGUUU
This 225-nucleotide ribosomal RNA is filed under the name uncultured Leptolinea sp. Its description in RNAcentral is "partial 16S ribosomal RNA". It matches the Rfam family "Bacterial small subunit ribosomal RNA", at positions 1158 to 1381 of the family's 1533-position model. Lineage: Bacteria; Bacillati; Chloroflexota; Anaerolineae; Anaerolineales; Anaerolineaceae. The record is from RNAcentral.